CCUACGGGAGGCAGCAGUGAGGAAUAUUGGUCAAUGGUCGCGAGCCUGAACCAGCCAAGUCGCGUGAGGGAUGAAGGUCCUGUGUAUUGUAAACCUCUUUUGUCAGGGAGCAAAGCCCGCGACGCGUUGCGGGAAGAGAGUACCCGAAGAAAAAGCAUCGGCAAACUCCGGACCAGCAGCCGCGGUAAUACGGAGGAUGCGAGCGUUAUCCGGAUUUAUUGGGUUUAAAGGGUGCGUAGGCGGGUUGUUAAGUCAUGGGUAAAAGCGUGGGGCUAAACCCCGGCCCGCCGUUGAAACUGGUCUUCUUGAGUGAGCGAGAAGUAUGCGGAAGGCGUGGUGUAGCGGUGAAAUGCAUAGAUAUCACGCAGAAGUCCGAUUGCGAAGGCAGCAUACCGGCGCUAAACUGACGCUGAGGCACGAAAGCGUGGGGAUCGAACAGGAUUAGAUACCCCUGUAGUC
Molecule: ribosomal RNA, 459 nt
Filed under: uncultured bacterium
Lineage: Bacteria
Description: partial 16S ribosomal RNA
Rfam family: Bacterial small subunit ribosomal RNA
Source: RNAcentral